Molecule: long non-coding RNA, 817 nt
Organism: Rhea pennata
Lineage: Eukaryota; Metazoa; Chordata; Aves; Rheiformes; Rheidae
Exons: 2
Source: RefSeq, a predicted model, not a curated record
UUGCGCCCGCGAGCACUUCCAGCUCGCCCCGAGCCGGGCAAGGACGUCGCCGGCCGGCUUCGGGGCGCGCGCGCCGGGGCAAAGGAGAGAGGCUGCGCCGGCGUGGAGAGGACGGCGAAGGGCUGCGUGGGGGAUCUGUGGGACGUGCCGGCCGCCGCCGCCGCCGCGGGGACGUGACUCCGCGCCGCCGCUCUGCCGCCGGGACAUGACCAGACUGCCAAGCGCGGGGAGGAAGCCGCACGGCAUCUCGUGCACCCCGGGGCUCUCGUCCUGUUUAUAGCCUCUCCCAGCCGGGUGCUUUGGGUGCCCCGGUGCCCCCCUCCAUCCCUCCCCCCCUCCCCGAGCCGGGAGCCCCACGGAGCGCCGGGAAAGCCCUGCUGCCGGCACCGGCGCUGCGGGGGGGAUUCCCUCUCUCCCGGAGCGGAGGCUUCCCCGUGUCGCGGCUCAUUUGGGGUUGCUCUUCGAGCGCCUCCGGGGUGUUUUUAUUAACGCUAACGGUGGGGAUGGCUGAGGAAUGGGGCCCGGCGCAGGCAAAGCCUCCCGGCGCUGCCCAGCCCCGCGGCUGAGGCCUGGCACGCUCAUGUCAUGCGCGGCGGCCGGGCGCUGCCGGGGCCCUGCGUCACGCGCAGGGGCCACUCCAGACCGGGAAGCGGCUCAGAGCUGAGCACUGGGCAACUCAUCACACCUCCGGCAGGGCCAGGACCCCCCCCCACCAGACCCCCGCCCGGCCGCAGCUGCCCGUGUCAGCGCUGAUUGAAAGCCCUGCCUGGCUGGCGAGCUCGUUAAUUAAGAAAUACAUUUGAUUAGCAGCACCCCA